UCGCACUGAAAAUAAAAAAGGAAGAGUAUGUAAGGUGUCUUAGAGCAGCAGCACCCACCCUGAGCAGCUCCUGGGAAAUCCAGAGGUUCCUCUGGAGGCAAAGGAGGUGGACAUGCUGUGCUCCUGCCAGGUUCGGCUGCAACUCAAGCUGUCAGUCAGCUGCCUGGUUCCUGAAUCUGUGCAUAGUCCAAGAUGAAAGCUGCUGCUGCUGCAAAAGGAACAACAGCACCUGAGCAAGUCUGGCCUGGAGUUCUUCACCACAGGACCCUUAAGAACCUGAAAGACAGUUUGGUAUGGUUAAUUCAAGCUGAAAAGUUUCCCCUUAAAGUUAAGGAUCCAAAACAUGAAGUUCAAAUUCACCUUUUCAACACUCCCAGGUUC
This is a long non-coding RNA of Corapipo altera (White-ruffed manakin), 381 nucleotides long. RefSeq lists it as uncharacterized. The record is from RefSeq and is a predicted model, not a curated record. Lineage: Eukaryota; Metazoa; Chordata; Aves; Passeriformes; Pipridae. The transcript is spliced from 3 exons.